GACGAACGCUGGCGGCGUGCUUAACACAUGCAAGUCGAACGGAAAGGCCCUGAUCUUGUGGGGUGCUCGAGUGGCGAACGGGUGAGUAACACGUGAGUAACCUGCCCUUGACUUUGGGAUAACUUCAGGAAACUGGGGCUAAUACCGGAUAGGAGCUCCUGCUGCAUGGUGGGGGUAGGAAAGAUUCGGCGGUUGGGGAUGGACUCGCGGCUUAUCCGCUUGUUGGUGGGGUAGUGGCUUACCAAGGCUUUGACGGGUAGCCGGCCUGAGAGGGUGACCGGCCACAUUGGGACUGAGGGACGGACCAGACUCCUACGGGAGGCAGCAGUGGAGAAUAUUGCACAGUGGGCGGAAGCCUGAUGCAGCAACGCCACGUGCGGGAUGACUGCCUUCGGGUUGUAAACCGCUUUCGCCUGUGACGAAGCGUUAGUGACGGUAAUGAGUAAAGAAGCACCGGCUAACUACGUG
This 468-nucleotide ribosomal RNA is filed under the name uncultured bacterium. Its description in RNAcentral is "partial 16S ribosomal RNA". It matches the Rfam family "Bacterial small subunit ribosomal RNA", at positions 28 to 507 of the family's 1533-position model. The record is from RNAcentral.